RNAcentral lists this long non-coding RNA (473 nucleotides) under Brassica napus (rape). RNAcentral's name for it is "long non-coding RNA (BNAP_LNC014109)". Lineage: Eukaryota; Viridiplantae; Streptophyta; Magnoliopsida; Brassicales; Brassicaceae. The record is from RNAcentral.
AAAACUAAUUUUAUAUUACGAGCAAUCAUACAAAAUCGCAUAGAAGAGAAAUAUCAAAUUUGAAGACAUGACAUAUAAACCUGAAACCCUAAACUCUAGUUUGAAAAGGAAAUUACUAAACCCUAAACGCUAACCACUAAACCCUAAACCCAAAUAUAAACCCUAAAUCCUAAACCCAAAUAUAAACCCUAAACACUAAUCACUAAACUCUAAACCCUAAUCACUAAGCCCUAAACCCAAAUAUAAACCCUAAACAUUAAUCACUAAACUCUAAACCCAAAUAUAAACCCUAAACCCUAAUUACUAAACCCUAAACCCAGAGAUAAACCCUAAACACUAAUCACUAAACCCUAAACCCUAAUCACUAAACCCUAAACUCAAAUAUAAACCCUAAACUCUAAUCACUAAACCCUAAACCCAAAUAUAAACCCUAAUCACUAAACUCUAAACCCAGAUAUAAACCCUAAACACUA